AGUUUGAUCCUGGCUCAGGAUGAACGCUAGCGGCAGGCUUAACACAUGCAAGUCGAGGGGUAAGGUUCACUUCGGUGGAUACACGACCGGCGAAUGGGUGAGUAACACGUAUGCAACUUACCUUUAACUGGAGGAUAGCUCCGGGAAACCGGAAUUAAUACUCCAUAGUAUUCUGAAAAUGCAUGUUUUCAGAAUUAAAGCUCCGGCGGUUAAAGAUAGGCAUGCGGGGCAUUAGUUAGUUGGUAGGGUAACGGCCUACCAAGACUGCGAUGCCUAGGGGGUCUGAGAGGACGAUCCCCCACACUGGCACUGAGACACGGGCCAGACUCCUACGGGAGGCAGCAGUGAGGAAUAUUGGGCAAUGGGCGAAAGCUUGACCCAGCCAUGCCGCGUGCAGGAUGACUGUCCUAUGGAUCGUAAACUGCUUUUCUACGGGAAGAAUCCCCCCGAUUCUUCGGGGGUUGACGGUACCGUAUGAAUAAGGGUCGGCUAACUCCGUGCCAGCAGCCGCGGUAAUACGGAGGACCCAAGUGUUAUCCGGAUUUACUGGGUUUAAAGGGUGCGCAGGCGGAAUAAUAAGUCGAUGGUGAAAGGCUACAGCUUAACUGUAGAAUUGCCAUUGAUACUGUUAUUCUUGAGCGCAGUCGAAGCGAGCGGAAUGUGUAGUGUAGCGGUGAAAUGCAUAGAUAUUACACAGAACACCGAUAGCGUAAGCAGCUCGCCAGGCUGUUACUGACGCUGAGGCACGAAAGCGUGGGUAUCGAACAGGAUUAGAUACCCUGGUAGUCCACGCUGUAAACGAUGAUCACUAGUUGUUGGCGAUAUACUGUCAGUGACUGAGCGAAAGCGUUA
RNAcentral lists this ribosomal RNA (852 nucleotides) under uncultured organism. Its description in RNAcentral is "bacterial SSU rRNA". It matches the Rfam family "Bacterial small subunit ribosomal RNA", at positions 10 to 862 of the family's 1533-position model. The record is from RNAcentral.